Molecule: unclassified non-coding RNA, 185 nt
Filed under: uncultured fungus
Lineage: Eukaryota; Fungi
Description: sequence contains ITS1
Source: RNAcentral
UUGACUCGUUUAAAAUGACUCGGAGAUGCCAACGCGCGAGACAGAGUUGUAGGGCCACCGGCGGGUUGGACGCCCCGGACAGAGUCCGAGGCACCCGCCGAGGCAACGACUUUAGGUAAGUUCACAGUGGUUACGGGAGCCUUGCGAGUCCUGUAAUGAUCCCUCCGCUGGUUCACCAACGGAGA